AUUGAACGCUGGCGGCAUGCCUUACACAUGCAAGUCGAACGGCAGCACGGGAGCUUGCUCCUGGUGGCGAGUGGCGAACGGGUGAGUAAUACAUCGGAACGUACCCAGGAGUGGGGGAUAACGUAGCGAAAGUUACGCUAAUACCGCAUAUUCUGUGAGCAGGAAAGCGGGGGAUCGCAAGACCUAGCGUUCUUGGAGCGGCCGAUGUCGGAUUAGCUAGUUGGUGGGGUAAAAGCUCACCAAGGCGACGAUCCGUAGCAGUUCUGAGAGGAUGAUCUGCCACACUGGGACUGAGACACGGCCCAGACUCCUACGGGAGGCAGCAGUGGGGAAUUUUGGACAAUGGGGGCAACCCUGAUCCAGCCAUGCCGCGUGAGUGAAGAAGGCCUUCGGGUUGUAAAGCUCUUUCGGCGGGGAAGAAAUGGCAACGGCUAAUAUCCGUUGUUGAUGACGGUACCCGCAUAAGAAGCACCGGCUAACUACGUGCCAGCAGCCGCCGUAA
Molecule: ribosomal RNA, 502 nt
Filed under: uncultured bacterium
Lineage: Bacteria
Description: partial 16S ribosomal RNA
Rfam family: Bacterial small subunit ribosomal RNA
Source: RNAcentral